This 65-nucleotide transfer RNA is filed under the name Phycisphaerales bacterium. Its description in RNAcentral is "tRNA-Thr". It matches the Rfam family "tRNA". From Rfam's summary of the family: Transfer RNA (tRNA) molecules are approximately 80 nucleotides in length. Their secondary structure includes four short double-helical elements and three loops (D, anti-codon, and T loops). Lineage: Bacteria; Pseudomonadati; Planctomycetota; Phycisphaerae; Phycisphaerales. The record is from RNAcentral.
ACCGUAGCUCAGUGGUAGAGCACACCCUUGGUAAGGGUGAGGUCAAGGGUUCAAGUCCCUUCGGU